Molecule: ribosomal RNA, 499 nt
Filed under: uncultured Glomeromycotina
Lineage: Eukaryota; Fungi; Glomeromycota
Description: partial small subunit ribosomal RNA
Rfam family: Eukaryotic small subunit ribosomal RNA
Source: RNAcentral
CCAAUAGCGUAUAUUAAAGUUGUUGCAGUUAAAAAGCUCGUAGUUGAAUUUCGGGAUCAAGGAAUCGGUCAUGCCUCGGUAUGUACUGGUUUUAUUGGUUCUCACCUUCUAAAGAACCAUGAUGUCAUUCAUUUGAUGUUAUGGGGAAUUAGGACUGUUACCUUGAAAAAAUUAGAGUGUUUAAAGCAGGCUUACGCUUGAAUACAUUAGCAUGGAAUAAUGAAAUAGGACAUCAGAUUCUAUUUUGUUGGUUUCUAGGAUCGAUGUAAUGAUUAAUAGGGAUAGUUGGGGGCAUUAGUAUUCAAUUGUCAGAGGUGAAAUUCUUGGAUUUAUUGAAGACUAACUACUGCGAAAGCAUUUGCCAAGGAUGUUUUCAUUAAUCAAGAACGAAAGUUAGGGGAUCGAAGACGAUCAGAUACCGUCGUAGUCUUAACCAUAAACUAUGCCGACUAGGGAUCGGAUGAUGUUUAUUUUUUAGUGACUCAUUCGGCACCUUACG